Molecule: unclassified non-coding RNA, 232 nt
Filed under: Ascomycota sp.
Lineage: Eukaryota; Fungi; Ascomycota
Description: partial contains small subunit ribosomal RNA, internal transcribed spacer 1, and 5.8S ribosomal RNA
Rfam family: Eukaryotic small subunit ribosomal RNA (bases 1-47)
Source: RNAcentral
AAAGUCGUAACAAGGUUUCCGUAGGUGAACCUGCGGAAGGAUCAUUACUGAGACUGGGUGCUUCGGCGCCCGACCUCCAACCCUUUGUCUACCUUACCACUGUUGCCUCGGUGGGCCGCGGCUCACGCCGCUCCUGCCGACGGCCCAAAACCAAAACUCUUGUUUAAACACCGUUCAUCUGAGAAUAAAAACAAUAACUUCAAAACUAUUAACAACGGAUCUCUUGGUUCUG